RNAcentral lists this ribosomal RNA (522 nucleotides) under Triticum aestivum (bread wheat). RNAcentral describes it as "partial small subunit ribosomal RNA". The record is from RNAcentral. Lineage: Eukaryota; Viridiplantae; Streptophyta; Magnoliopsida; Poales; Poaceae.
AUGGGAAGGUACGCGGUACGCACGUACUACCAGCCGCGCCAUGCAAAGGAUAAUUCCCCGUGGGGCGGCAGCGGGAAGCAGCUGUAUGGCAGAGGCCGCGGGCGAUCCGGCAGCGGCAGGCUUCCCCGUGCCUGCUGCCGCACGGCGACACGCCCCGCCCCCGCGGCCGGCUCCCGCGGGUCUCCGAUCCCUACCCUGCAUGCACCGCAGCGCACUCGUGCGAUCGCCACCCACGGUGAACAGUCGGCGUCGGUAAAGCUAGCUGGCUGCUCCAGCUCCGCCAGCGCCGCCGGAUGUUACUUUGGCGCGCCGACCUGGUUUCCCCCGCUCGCCGACGUCGACGGGCAAGUGUGCAACAGCUGGCUCUGCCGGGCCCCGCUGUACGGUGACGCGACGUCACCGGAGCCGCCGCUUUCCUUUGCCGAGUGCAUGGGCAUCUGCGAGCUGGGCACCGCGCCCGAUCGAUCGGCCAAGAGAAUUCUUGAUUUGCUGCUGCUUUUGGAUUUUGAUUGCUAUGAAUAA